RNAcentral lists this ribosomal RNA (2919 nucleotides) under Klebsiella pneumoniae. Its description in RNAcentral is "23S ribosomal RNA". It matches the Rfam family "Bacterial large subunit ribosomal RNA". The record is from RNAcentral. Lineage: Bacteria; Pseudomonadati; Pseudomonadota; Gammaproteobacteria; Enterobacterales; Enterobacteriaceae.
GGGUUGUGAGGUUAAGCGACUAAGCGUACACGGUGGAUGCCCUGGCAGUCAGAGGCGAUGAAGGACGUGCUAAUCUGCGAAAAGCGUCGGUAAGGUGAUAUGAACCGUUAUAACCGGCGAUGUCCGAAUGGGGAAACCCAGUGCAAUUCGUUGCACUAUCGUUAACUGAAUACAUAGGUUAACGAGGCGAACCGGGGGAACUGAAACAUCUAAGUACCCCGAGGAAAAGAAAUCAACCGAGAUUCCCCCAGUAGCGGCGAGCGAACGGGGAGCAGCCCAGAGUCUGAAUCAGCUUGUGUGUUAGUGGAACGGUCUGGAAAGUCCGACGGUACAGGGUGAUAGUCCCGUACACCAAAAUGCACAGGUUGUGAACUCGAAGAGUAGGGCGGGACACGUGGUAUCCUGUCUGAAUAUGGGGGGACCAUCCUCCAAGGCUAAAUACUCCUGACUGACCGAUAGUGAACCAGUACCGUGAGGGAAAGGCGAAAAGAACCCCGGCGAGGGGAGUGAAAAAGAACCUGAAACCGUGUACGUACAAGCAGUGGGAGCACCUUCGGGUGUGACUGCGUACCUUUUGUAUAAUGGGUCAGCGACUUAUAUUCUGUAGCAAGGUUAACCGUAUAGGGGAGCCGCAGGGAAACCGAGUCUUAACUGGGCGUUAAGUUGCAGGGUAUAGACCCGAAACCCGGUGAUCUAGCCAUGGGCAGGUUGAAGGUUGGGUAACACUAACUGGAGGACCGAACCGACUAAUGUUGAAAAAUUAGCGGAUGACUUGUGGCUGGGGGUGAAAGGCCAAUCAAACCGGGAGAUAGCUGGUUCUCCCCGAAAGCUAUUUAGGUAGCGCCUCGUGAAUUCAUCUUCGGGGGUAGAGCACUGUUUCGGCUAGGGGGUCAUCCCGACUUACCAACCCGAUGCAAACUACGAAUACCGAAGAAUGUUAUCACGGGAGACACACGGCGGGUGCUAACGUCCGUCGUGAAGAGGGAAACAACCCAGACCGCCAGCUAAGGUCCCAAAGUCAUGGUUAAGUGGGAAACGAUGUGGGAAGGCACAGACAGCGGGAUGUUGGCUUAGAAGCAGCCAUCAUUUAAAGAAAGCGUAAUAGCUCACUGGUCGAGUCGGCCUGCGCGGAAGAUGUAACGGGGCUAAACCAUGCACCGAAGCUGCGGCAGCGACACUAUGUGUUGUUGGGUAGGGGAGCGUUCUGUAAGCCUGCGAAGGUGACCUGUGAGGGUUGCUGGAGGUAUCAGAAGUGCGAAUGCUGACAUAAGUAACGAUAAAGCGGGUGAAAAGCCCGCUCGCCGGAAGACCAAGGGUUCCUGUCCAACGUUAAUCGGGGCAGGGUGAGUCGACCCCUAAGGCGAGGCCGAAAGGCGUAGUCGAUGGGAAACAGGUUAAUAUUCCUGUACUUGGUGUUACUGCGAAGGGGGGACGGAGAAGGCUAUGUUAGCCGGGCGACGGUUGUCCCGGUUUAAGCAUGUAGGCUGGUUAUCCAGGCAAAUCCGGAUAAUCAAGGCUGAGGUGUGAUGACGAGGCACUACGGUGCUGAAGUAACAAAUGCCCUGCUUCCAGGAAAAGCCUCUAAGCAUCAGGUAACAUCAAAUCGUACCCCAAACCGACACAGGUGGUCAGGUAGAGAAUACCAAGGCGCUUGAGAGAACUCGGGUGAAGGAACUAGGCAAAAUGGUGCCGUAACUUCGGGAGAAGGCACGCUGGUGUGUAGGUGAAGUCCCUGCGGAUGGAGCUGAGACCAGUCGAAGAUACCAGCUGGCUGCAACUGUUUAUUAAAAACACAGCACUGUGCAAACACGAAAGUGGACGUAUACGGUGUGACGCCUGCCCGGUGCCGGAAGGUUAAUUGAUGGGGUUAUCCGUAAGGAGAAGCUCUUGAUCGAAGCCCCGGUAAACGGCGGCCGUAACUAUAACGGUCCUAAGGUAGCGAAAUUCCUUGUCGGGUAAGUUCCGACCUGCACGAAUGGCGUAAUGAUGGCCAGGCUGUCUCCACCCGAGACUCAGUGAAAUUGAACUCGCUGUGAAGAUGCAGUGUACCCGCGGCAAGACGGAAAGACCCCGUGAACCUUUACUAUAGCUUGACACUGAACAUUGAGCCUUGAUGUGUAGGAUAGGUGGGAGGCUUUGAAGCGUGGACGCCAGUCUGCGUGGAGCCAACCUUGAAAUACCACCCUUUAAUGUUUGAUGUUCUAACGUUGGCCCCUUACCGGGGUUGCGGACAGUGUCUGGUGGGUAGUUUGACUGGGGCGGUCUCCUCCCAAAGCGUAACGGAGGAGCACGAAGGUUAGCUAAUCUGGUCGGACAUCAGGAGGUUAGUGCAAUGGCAUAAGCUAGCUUGACUGCGAGCGUGACGGCGCGAGCAGGUGCGAAAGCAGGUCAUAGUGAUCCGGUGGUUCUGAAUGGAAGGGCCAUCGCUCAACGGAUAAAAGGUACUCCGGGGAUAACAGGCUGAUACCGCCCAAGAGUUCAUAUCGACGGCGGUGUUUGGCACCUCGAUGUCGGCUCAUCACAUCCUGGGGCUGAAGUAGGUCCCAAGGGUAUGGCUGUUCGCCAUUUAAAGUGGUACGCGAGCUGGGUUUAGAACGUCGUGAGACAGUUCGGUCCCUAUCUGCCGUGGGCGCUGGAGAAUUGAGGGGCUGCUCCUAGUACGAGAGGACCGGAGUGGACGCAUCACUGGUGUUCGGGUUGUCAUGCCAAUGGCACUGCCCGGUAGCUAAAUGCGGAAGAGAUAAGUGCUGAAAGCAUCUAAGCACGAAACUUGCCCCGAGAUGAGUUCUCCCUGAGACUUUAAGUCUCCUGAAGGAACGUUAAAGACGAUGACGUUGAUAGGCCGGGUGUGUAAGCGCAGCGAUGCGUUGAGCUAACCGGUACUAAUGAACCGUGAGGCUUAACCUUACAACGCCGAAG